UCCUACGGGGGGCAGCAGUAGGGAAUCUUCCACAAUGGGCGCAAGCCUGAUGGAGCAACACCGCGUGAGUGAAGAAGGGUUUCGGCUCGUAAAGCUCUGUUGUUGGAGAAGAACGUGCGUGAGAGUAACUGUUCACGCAGUGACGGUAUCCAACCAGAAAGUCACGGCUAACUACGUGCCAGCAGCCGCGGUAAUACGUAGGUGGCAAGCGUUAUCCGGAUUUAUUGGGCGUAAAGCGAGCGCAGGCGG
This 249-nucleotide ribosomal RNA is filed under the name uncultured bacterium. Its description in RNAcentral is "partial 16S ribosomal RNA". It matches the Rfam family "Bacterial small subunit ribosomal RNA", at positions 337 to 578 of the family's 1533-position model. The record is from RNAcentral.